Labrus mixtus (cuckoo wrasse) is the source of this 1799-nucleotide long non-coding RNA. RefSeq lists it as uncharacterized. The record is from RefSeq and is a predicted model, not a curated record. Lineage: Eukaryota; Metazoa; Chordata; Actinopteri; Labriformes; Labridae. The transcript has 2 exons.
CCAGAACCCGUGAGCAUCUCAUCACUUGUUGUGUUUUGAAAGUCAGUCAGCGGCGACUCAUACUGUCCACCAGUGAAGUGAUGACUCACUUUUAAGUGCUUCCUAGCUUAAAGGUUUAAUGGAGCCAAUGUCCUAAAACACUUGUUGCAGCUAAUUAGCACACUCAGUUCACUUUCCAGAAAUUAUAUGCUAAACAUUCCUGAAAAAAAAAAACUACAACUGUUUUGUUAUUCCUUUAGUUUUGUUUUCUCUGCGCAGCAUUUGUGUAGAAAUCUGUAUGGCAUGAAAAAUUACAACAAUUUAAAAUCCAGCUGUUGACACAUACAUGUAGGCUUGUCUUCACUUGAAACAUAAUGUCUGCCAUUUACUUAUUGAAGGUUCGAUGGUUAUGCAGUACAGAUUGUUCCGGUCAAACUGUACUCACAGAUGCGUUAACUCCUGACUUCAAUGAAAACAUCCGUCAGGUUUAGGCCGUGGCUAUUGGAGAUCUGAAUAAACGAAAAGGUUCACAUGAUUAAGAUUCAAAGGAGGGAAUAGAAAACACUUGCAAGGAGAGAAGUAUAAAAGAAUCCCAAUUUGGUCUCACUUCUUUAAAUCGUUUGUGAAUGAAAUGCAACUCAAAUGUUUUUUUACUGGGCCGCCAGUAACCUAGUGGUUAGUUUGUGCGCAACAUGUUAAAAGGCUGUCAGGUAGUCCUCCAAGCAGACGGCCCUGGUUCGAAUCAGACCUGCGGCUCUUCUCCAGCAUGUCAUUCCCCUCUCUCUCUCCCUCUCCCCAGUUUCCGACUCGAUCCACUGCCCUGUCAUGAAUCGAUAAGGAAGUAUGAUAGAGAGCUCAUGUUAAUGCUUAGGACAGAGGGAGUGUGACACUUUGGAGUAAUAGGUUGAAAUAUGAAGUCUUUUGUUACCAUACAGUUAUUGAAUUAGUGCAUGUGUGUAUAAACUACACAGUAGACUUUUGAUAUGUUACACAGCAUCCUGGGUUUAUAAACUCUUUAUAUAAACAGAGUCUUACACACAGGUCUUUGUAAGUGUUAAUUAUAAGACAUAACACUUUCUAACUUUCUGGGAGAUGCAGGGUUUCUGUAGUAAAUGUUAAAUCGGCAUGUUUUCUGAAGUUUCAUAGUCAAAGACAAAUCGAUAUUUUGCACAUUUUUUACUUUUUCAUCAAUAUUAAUUCAAUUACCGGUAAACUUUUUCUUGAGUGAUGAACUCUUUUGGGUUGUAUUGAAUAUGUUUCCAUAAAUAACAUCCCUGUAAAGCAGGAAUCCCCAAUAAGUUUUGCCAAAUGAACUUGGACUUCUUCAACCCUUUCCCUUCAUUUCUCUCCUCAUCUCAAACACAGUUACACACUAACACCUCUGGCCUGCCUCUCAUAUUCACAGACACAAAGACUCCCACUCGUACACUAAGAGAGACAAGGAGACAGGCCGAGGUAUUUUCAGCCUGUCACUUAAUUAUAGGGAUGAAUGUUAGAAUACACAACAGACCUUUCCUAGAGGAAAAAUGUUUCUAUGCUGCAGAGCCAUCUGUCUGUCCCUGUGAACAUGGACUACAGUCUAUAGUGAAGUUAAAACCUUUCUCUGAUGAACCACAGAGCUGUAGUAUGACAUACAGGUCUUCUGACCCCUCCAUGUUUAUUCAAACAUGAUCUAUCUUAUUAAUCCACAAACAGUAAGCUCAGUGGUUCCCUCUCUGCUUCAAGCCUGUUUGACAUCUCUUAUCAAAUCAUGAAUUUAUAUUGACCAUAAUGUACACAUCAACUGGUACAUGAGGUCUGAUCACAUAUGGUGACUUAAA